Molecule: ribosomal RNA, 255 nt
Filed under: Triticum aestivum (bread wheat)
Lineage: Eukaryota; Viridiplantae; Streptophyta; Magnoliopsida; Poales; Poaceae
Description: partial small subunit ribosomal RNA
Source: RNAcentral
AUGGUCGUUGCGCUCUCCACCGGCUGGUUCAAGAACAUGGCCCGUUGCGGGCACCGCAUCAAGAUCAGCGCCAAUGGCAAGUCUGUGUAUGCCAAGGUGGUGGACGAGUGUGACUCCGUCUAUGGCUGCGACGAAGACCACAACUACGAGCCCCCGUGUGCUAACAACAUCGUUGACGCCUCUCCUGCGGUGUGGAAUGCCUUGGGGCUCGACCAGAACGUCGGCAUGGAGGGCAUCACCUGGUCCGAUGAGUGA